This 500-nucleotide ribosomal RNA is filed under the name uncultured bacterium. Its description in RNAcentral is "partial 16S ribosomal RNA". It matches the Rfam family "Bacterial small subunit ribosomal RNA", at positions 28 to 507 of the family's 1533-position model. The record is from RNAcentral.
GACGAACGCUGGCGGCGUGCUUAACACAUGCAAGUCGAACGGGUCUGCCCUGUUUUUUGCGGGGUGGGUCAGUGGCGAACGGGUGAGUAACACGUGAGUAACCUGCCCCUCACUUCUGGAUAACCGCUUGAAAGGGUGGCUAAUACGGGGUGUUCUGGCUGUGCCGCAUGGUGUGGCUGGGAAAGAUUCACUUUUGUGGUGUUUUGGUGGGGGAUGGGCUCGCGGCCUAUCAGCUUGUUGGUGGGGUGAUGGCCUGCCAAGGCUUUGACGGGUAGCCGGCCUGAGAGGGUGGGCGGUCACACUGGGACUGAGAUACGGCCCAGACUCCUGCGGGAGGCAGCAGUGGGGGGUAUUGCACAAUGGGCGGAAGCCUGAUGCAGCGACGUCGCGUGAGGGAUGGAGGCCUUCGGGUUGCGAACCUCUUUCGCCGGUGAAGAAGGUCCUGCUCUUUGUGGUGGGGUUGACGGUAGCCGGGUUAUGAAGCGCCGGCUAACUACGUG